AGUUCUCUGACAGCAGCCAGCGGGGAAGGAGGUCAUGUAUGAAAGCUCCAUGGAGAUGCUUGGCUGCUGGUCUAUUACAGGGAAUUUACCAAUUAAGGAGAGUGUAUUUGGAGGCCUGAAUCGCUGAUUUACACAUUCACCUCAAAGCAGGUCAAAACCUUGGAAAGAGAAUGCUCGUCAAAGUCUUUAAUCAGGACUCCUCUCUGGAAACAACAUAAACUUCGGCUUAAAACCAGGUG
Long non-coding RNA from Alligator sinensis (Chinese alligator), 239 nucleotides. RefSeq lists it as uncharacterized. NCBI's taxonomy places the organism in Eukaryota, Metazoa, Chordata, Crocodylia, Alligatoridae. The transcript has 3 exons. The record is from RefSeq and is a predicted model, not a curated record.